Molecule: transfer-messenger RNA, 348 nt
Filed under: Christensenellales
Lineage: Bacteria; Bacillati; Bacillota; Clostridia
Also listed under: 1 other name
Description: Ventricola sp902781095 Standard tmRNA
Rfam family: transfer-messenger RNA
About the family: Bacterial tmRNA, also known as 10Sa RNA or SsrA, is named for its dual tRNA and mRNA-like properties. Its role is to liberate the mRNA from a stalled ribosome.
Source: RNAcentral
GGGGGUGUACUGGUUUCGACGGGAUCGCAGGUGGUCGGGUAAGCGAGCCGCAGCCCCGGGCUGCGUUAAAACCGGGAAAUAAAAUUGAACUGACAAUAGCGAAUACGCUUUCGCGGCCUAAUCAGGCUGCGCGUCGGCCCGGGGUUCCCGCUGCCCCGGUCACCGGCGUCAAUUCAGCGGGCCAUGUUCCUGCCUAAGCUUUGCGGCUUGAACACAUUAUGAAGCUACCGAAUCCCUGAGCCUGUCCACGGGCGCCCGGACGAGGGAAUUCUAAAUCAUGGACUGCGCUCGGAGAAAGCCCGGCUGUCACUUUUUCGGACAGGGGUUCGAUUCCCCUCACCUCCACCA